UACGAAGGGGGCUAGCGUUGCUCGGAAUCACUGGGCGUAGAGCGCACGUAGGCGGCUUCUUAAGUCAGGGGUGAAAUCCUGGAGCUCAACUCCAGAACUGCCUUUGAUACUGAGGAGCUCGAGUCCGGAAGAGGUGAGUGGAACUGCGAGUGUAGAGGUGAAAUUCGUAGAUAUUCGCAAGAACACCAGUGGCGAAGGCGGCUCACUGGCCCGAUACUGACGCUGAGGCACGAAAGCGUGGGGAGCAAACAGG
Molecule: ribosomal RNA, 253 nt
Filed under: uncultured bacterium
Lineage: Bacteria
Description: partial 16S ribosomal RNA
Rfam family: Bacterial small subunit ribosomal RNA
Source: RNAcentral